RNAcentral lists this ribosomal RNA (547 nucleotides) under uncultured bacterium. Its description in RNAcentral is "bacterial SSU rRNA". It matches the Rfam family "Bacterial small subunit ribosomal RNA", at positions 355 to 896 of the family's 1533-position model. The record is from RNAcentral.
UGGGGAAUAUUGCGCAAUGGGGGAAACCCUGACGCAGCCAUGCCGCGUGAAUGAAGAAGGCCUUCGGGUUGUAAAGUUCUUUCGGUAUUGAGGAAGGUUGAUGUGUUAAUAGCACAUCAAAUUGACGUUAAAUACAGAAGAAGCACCGGCUAACUCCGUGCCAGCAGCCGCGGUAAUACGGAGGGUGCGAGCGUUAAUCGGAAUAACUGGGCGUAAAGGGCACGCAGGCGGUUAUUUAAGUGAGGUGUGAAAGCCCCGGGCUUAACCUGGGAAUUGCAUUUCAGACUGGGUAACUAGAGUACUUUAGGGAGGGGUAGAAUUCCACGUGUAGCGGUGAAAUGCGUAGAGAUGUGGAGGAAUACCGAAGGCGAAGGCAGCCCCUUGGGAAUGUACUGACGCUCAUGUGCGAAAGCGUGGGGAGCAAACAGGAUUAGAUACCCUGGUAGUCCACGCUGUAAACGCUGUCGAUUUGGGGGUUGGGGUUUAACUCUGGCGCCCGUAGCUAACGUGAUAAAUUGACCGCCUGGGGAGUACGGCCGCAAGGUUA